UACGAGGGGGGCGAGCGUUGUUCGGAAUUAUUGGGCGUAAAGGGUGCGUAGGCGGUUUGGUAAGUCUUGUGUGAAAUCUUCGGGCUUAACUCGAAGUCUGCACUGGAAACUACAGGGCUGGAGUGUCGGAGAGGAUGGCGGAAUUCCUGGUGUAGAGGUGAAAUUCGUAGAUAUCAGGAGGAACACCGGUGGCGAAGGCGGCCAUCUGGACGACAACUGACGCUGAGGCGCGAAAGCGUGGGGAUCAAACAGG
Molecule: ribosomal RNA, 253 nt
Filed under: uncultured bacterium
Lineage: Bacteria
Description: partial 16S ribosomal RNA
Rfam family: Bacterial small subunit ribosomal RNA
Source: RNAcentral